Notolabrus celidotus (New Zealand spotty) is the source of this 2428-nucleotide long non-coding RNA. RefSeq lists it as uncharacterized. The record is from RefSeq and is a predicted model, not a curated record. The transcript is spliced from 6 exons. NCBI's taxonomy places the organism in Eukaryota, Metazoa, Chordata, Actinopteri, Labriformes, Labridae.
CACCUUUUGUCCUUAGACAAGCUCGAGGGACAACCAGCAGCCCUGGUCAGAUGACCUAAGUGACCUACUGGUGAGCCAGCGGAUGCAGCGGCUGUAGUUAUGAGGCUUGAGCAGCAGCUCUCGGAGGAACUGCCACAGGUGGAUGGGCUGGUUUGGAUAGUUACUGAUCACCUCUGUCCAGGAAUCAUCAUCCGCUGCUGAAAUGUCUAGAUGAGCAUACAGCAUGUCCCCAAACUGCGAUGAGUGUAAUCUGAAGUCUGCUUCUGUCAUGGAGCACAGAUCCUUCCCGUUAAGCUCCUGGAACAUGGUGCUGACCUGUGGCAGCUUGUACAGGUGCUCAGUCCAGAGAAACCACUUCUGGACAUGCACGCAGCUCCAGUCCAAAGGGUCUGAGAUGGAAAACAAAGAGACAACACAUCUCACUUCAGUGGAGCUUCUUGAUUGAGGCAACGAGGUUCACCUGGCUGUGGGCCUUAAAGUUUGCUGCUGCCUGCAGUCAGUGAGAGGCAGUUGAGUUGGGGACUGCUGGCCAGCUGCCUCUCCUUUAAGGGAUUUGUGUGUGUUUUUGUUGUGUUGUGUCCUGUCGUGUCCUGUCAGAAUGUAGUUAAAAAUUUGUUGAAUUGUUUAACCCUUUGUGUGGCUUUAUAUUAAAUUCCCUUUUGUUAAAUGUUACAAGGUGCUUUUGUGGUUUCUAUGGGUAUCGUGUUGGAUUAUUGUUAGCCCCACAGGGCCGCGGCGUAACAGAGACCAUCACUGAAAAAUCGUUUUUAAAUAUUUCCAAUAACUUCAUGUGCAGAAGACGGUGUUCUGUUUUUUUUCCUUCCAGGUUACCUGACCAUAGUCCCUUAUUUUUAGAUGUCCAAUAAUUUCUCUCUAUUUCAGCAUUUAGGCUAAAACUGAACCUACAAUUUGUUAUUUGAAAGUAUUCAACAAAGUACCAUUAGUUUUAUUUUCAACUACAAAAAGGUGACCAGUGUUUCAAGAAAGUUGGCUCUGUGGGCAAAAAGGAGAGCGUAGAAAUAGUCCUUAGCUUUGGCUAUCAUGACAAACUAUUCUUUACAGACCAGGAAUACAAAACUCUGUAAACCAUUCCUCAGCCCCUGGCAGGCUGUCUAAACCUUUAUCACUGUUGUACCUUACUACUUUUUUUUUUACCUUAAACCCUGUUAUAUUAACUGGGUUUGGACAAUUUGUGGAGAGUUUUGAAGGCUCCUGGCAGGCAGGGGAAUGCACCCAGGGAAGUGUAGGCCAUAAUGUAUGUUUGUCUCAGUCUGCUGCAUCAAUCCUGAUCCUAUUUUGAAAUAUCUCUCCUGUACUCUCUUAUUUUAACUCAAUUGCUGAUAGACUAAUUUGAACUAUGAGCAUCAUGCUCUACAUGAAUCAUAAGCAACAAUUAAUUUGUCCCCUACCCUCAGAGUUAGACAAAAGCAAAUAUUCAGGAACACGAUGUCUGUAUGAAUUUAAGGCUACAGAUAAGGAAAUUCAAGAACUGAAGAUGAUCUUUCAACAGAAGUGUUUGCACAAGGAAGGUAGGGCCCCAGAUGCUCACAGGUAACAGUUGUGCCUCUAUGUGGAUGUUGAUGUGAGAGCAAACAAACAAAUGAUAGCUUUGUAAGGUGAGUUCUUUUUAGACUUAAACUCCUGCCAACACUUUCUGUCAAAGUUUUUUUUUUGUUUAAUGUCUCUCUGAUAACCUCACAUUGACCUUUUUAAUUUUUUGUGCUACCUGGUGCGAUGUUGAGUAGUUUGCAGGCUGUGUCCACAUCCUUCAGCACCUCUCCCACCACCAUGGUCUGGACCUGCUCCAGACAUCGCUCCCCGGUUUGGCCCUCCAUUUCAGAGGAAGGUUCCUGAACCUGACUGGGCUUCGCUGGACUCAUCUCCGGGGUCCUGGAUGGAGGAGCAGCAGCAGGAGGAGCCGGGGCCUCUGUCAUCCUCAAUACCCAGGGGUUCUCCUCCACAGCCAAUCUGUCCGGCCAGCUGAGCUCAGGAAGCCCCAACAAGCUGCGGGGGGGUUUAACGUCCUCCCCCUCAUCUAGCCAGGCGGUCCUGGUGUCGGUGUGUGGGUGGCUGAUGUAGAGAGGCAGUGGAAAGAGAAGGAAGCUGAGAAGAGAGAGUGGGGAAUAAAAUGCAGCAAAGGGCCAAGCAUUGGAGUCAAACUCGGGCCACCCACUAUCCGGACAGGAAGAGUGAAGUUUGUUGUUCUUACCUCCAAAGUAAAGACCGGUAGCUGUGCACAUUCUCCACUGGCCCUGGAACAUGCCAGGAGACGCAGUGCUCUGCAUUUGUACGCUGACAUCAGUCAUUUCCUGCGGGUCUAAAGACCGAACCAUCACCAUGUUUACGUGACCAAACUGAUCUCCUCCAACAUACUUCAGACAGACUCCAGGAGGCCACGACUCUGCACCUGGAAGACACACAGACACAG